Pelobates cultripes (western spadefoot toad) is the source of this 1574-nucleotide non-coding RNA. The record is from the annotation of a GenBank genome assembly. Lineage: Eukaryota; Metazoa; Chordata; Amphibia; Anura; Pelobatidae.
GUUCAGUCUUUUUUCUCCAGAGUCUUUCUUAUAAUGAUGUUGAUUAUUCAUUCUUCGUACAUUUCAUGUUAACUGUGAAUGUAUCACAUCUGUCUGUUCAUCCUUCUCCUUCACAUUUGCAGGUUCAGAUGUCAGAUCAUGAUUCAGUCUGUUACGUGGCUAUGAUUCUGAUGGCUGUGUUUUGGUGGCAUUUCUGUCGUCCUCUGUUUGUUUUAUCUUGUCAUCUUUAACAGUAUCCAUUGUGUCAGUCAGUGGUUCUGUGAAUGUCCUGGAAGUAUUUUAGCAGGUUGUAAAAUAUCAAAUUCACUGUUCUCUGUUGGCUCUGAUUGUUCUCUGUAGUAAAAGUUCUCUGAGUCACUCUCUCCAGGACAAGCUGGCCAACAGAAGGAAAUAGGUGGUGGUGCAAGGCAAGGUGGGCUGGAAAAAAAAUUCCCCAAAUUUCUCUAAUAGAACCAAUGGUUCUAAGCUCUCCCUGGUGCAGAAAUAUGUUUGUCAGUGGAAAAACAUGUAACAUUUCAUAUGGUGUCUCACCAUUUGUAUCAUCAGGUAUUGAAGUUGUGAAUGUUCAUCUGUACCAUAGGAAUAAAUAUAUACCACUGUGUGGGGCAAGCAACUAGUAACUUGGUUAAUAAUCAUUUAACCUCAGCAUUCUCCCAGACCACAACCCCACUUAUUUGGGGGUGGUUGGCACACUGAAAUCCCAAAGUAACCCAAAUGUGGUUGCCCAGUUUUAGGUUUCCUUUGCAGUAACUGCAGGACCACCAUCCAAAUGGAUGGUCCUGGGAUUAUCAAAUGCAUACUAAGGAAGUGAGACUAGAAAACGUGGCAUCAGAGGUUGCACUUCGCACAGGAUAUAUCCAAGUAAACCUGGUACAUGCAUCAACACAUACAAAAACAUAUUUAUAACCAUGAGAUGUUGGCACACUUCCAAUAUAUAGUAAUCCAAAAAGUACGUUAGAUAUUAAUAUUUCAAUAAACAGUACAUCAGUAAUGUGGCAAUAAACAAAUGCUUAUGAUUACUAAACACAUGAAUUACAGUAUUUCCCAUAUUGGACCACCAAUAUUCCUUUUCAGGAGUCAGAAGUACAUUACCUCUCUCUAUAAGAGCUUGUCCUAGCCAUGAAAAAGCUUUUAGGGCAAGUCUAUCUUUCCUCUAUAGGAAGAACAACCAACAUAUUACCUUCAAUGGUUAUUAUGUAAUUAACCCCUGUAAACGAUAGGAGUAUUUAUACGGAUACCAGGUGGAUAAGGUCUGGAUAUCCUUGCAAGCAUAAACUCUGCAUCACGACUGAGAGAAAGGGUAUGCUUUUGUGAUCCAGUGACCACAGAAAAGUUGGUAGACACAUUGCAUCAAAGUGCCUGUUACAGACCAACUACAUGAGGAGAGGGACCAUGCUUUGUUAUAAGCAUGUCCAUACACAUAUUACAAUGCCAGGCUUUCAAUUUGUUAUCACAAAGCAAAAUGCAGUUGUGGAUAUAAACUCACGACGUAUCGUAAGAAAAACAGUUUGAACACCAGACUGAGAUUCGAGAUCAGUGAGCAGUGGACCCAAAAUAGAUAAAUGAAAUCCUAU